Herpailurus yagouaroundi (jaguarundi) is the source of this 1401-nucleotide long non-coding RNA. RefSeq lists it as uncharacterized. The record is from RefSeq and is a predicted model, not a curated record. NCBI's taxonomy places the organism in Eukaryota, Metazoa, Chordata, Mammalia, Carnivora, Felidae. The transcript has 2 exons.
CUCCCCCCAGGCAAGUGGCUGGCUGGAGCUCGCUAGCUGGCACACACACGCUCACACAAGCACGCAGGCGCACUUUCCUUCCGGAAGAGCCCCGGGAAAGGCACGCAGGGUCAGAAGCCUCCUUCCACUGCCUAACCUGUUCAGUCAGAUCCCAGCUUCUUCCUGCUGCGGCACCUUUGCCCAGGCUUCCUGCCACCGCACAGCUGCAGCCCCGGAGGUCAACCGUCGCCAUGCCCGCACAGGCAGCAGGGGACUCCCCAGGACGGGGAAGGGGACGUAAGGCAAGAAGUCCUUCUCUUCUUUGGGGGACCCGGUUUUCAAUCAUGACAAUGUUUGCGAGUCCCUGGAUGAAGGCAUAGCUGGACGCCCAUGGAUCAUUCUGCACACAGUAUCACAUCGCAGCUUUCUGGAGGUCCCUAUCACCCCAGGCUGGGCCAUGAGGAUUGACACUGCCACGCACCUGAGACAUUCCAGGGAGGACAGGCAGGGGGAGAACCGUGCCUGUUCUCACCAAGACCACAAUUUGGAAUACCCCUUCUGCAAGUCAAGUUGAAAGGAGAGAAAUGAGAAACUACAAUCCACCUACUGGGGGGGAGGGGGGAUCCAUCUCAGGGACACGCAGCCAACUCCCCCCAGUUCCCACUGCUCUGGGCGAGUCACUCCCAGCAGUGCUGAGCAAUUCUUAACACUUGACCCACUUUUAGUUCUUUUUUGGACUCUUUUCUCCAAAGCAUACAAUCAUGGGAUUAUUGUUUUCUUCUGAAAUGAGCUUUCUCACUUAAGACUCUCCACUUCUAGGCUGCCUGAAAUUUAUGCUGUGUGUGAAAAAAUUAAAUUUAUAGUAAGUGACACAGACAGAUGCCUACUGCCAAAUUGGUAGCUUUUGUUGCUUUUGUUUCUGCCUUUUAAUCAAAAUCAAGUCUGCUUAAAAAGUCCAAAACAAUCCUCCCAUCCCAGACCACUCUCCUACAUUUUCCGAACAAAGGGCUCAAAGUCACAAAACCGCAAGAUCAUGACCUGGGCCAAAACCAAGAGUUGAACGCUUAACCAAAUGAGCCACCGAGGAGCCCCAAGCAACCUCUCUACAUACUUUGGAUGGAAGGAUAACUUCUGACAAUUCACUUAACUUCUCUUGGUGCCUAAGCUUUCACUGUAAAAUUGGGGUGACAUCAUUUACCUUACAGGACUGGGGAGAGGAUUAAAUGAAGCAUAGUGGUAGCGGUAAGAAGUGCUUAUACAUAUCACCUGCUUUUACAUUUUACACUACAUCUGUUGUAAGUACUCCAUUUUUGCUUCGUAUUUCAGGUGUUUCCAGUUCAACUAUCAAGGUUAUGGAGCAAUAAUAUUGUCCAGCCCACUGCUGGAGCUGUACUAGAUGGUUGGCAAAUCCAUGCUGGAAAA